GAGAAGCUUGCUUCUCUGAUGUUAGCGGCGGACGGGUGAGUAACACGUGGAUAACCUACCUAUAAGACUGGGAUAACUUCGGGAAACCGGAGCUAAUACCGGAUAAUAUUUUGAACCGCAUGGUUCAAAAGUGAAAGACGGUCUUGCUGUCACUUAUAGAUGGAUCCGCGCUGCAUUAGCUAGUUGGUAAGGUAACGGCUUACCAAGGCAACGAUGCAUA
This 220-nucleotide ribosomal RNA is filed under the name Staphylococcus aureus. RNAcentral's name for it is "partial 16S ribosomal RNA". It matches the Rfam family "Bacterial small subunit ribosomal RNA", at positions 73 to 285 of the family's 1533-position model. The record is from RNAcentral. Lineage: Bacteria; Bacillati; Bacillota; Bacilli; Caryophanales; Staphylococcaceae.